Molecule: ribosomal RNA, 161 nt
Filed under: Ginkgo biloba (maidenhair tree)
Lineage: Eukaryota; Viridiplantae; Streptophyta; Ginkgoopsida; Ginkgoales; Ginkgoaceae
Description: 5.8S ribosomal RNA
Rfam family: 5.8S ribosomal RNA
About the family: 5.8S ribosomal RNA (5.8S rRNA) is a component of the large subunit of the eukaryotic ribosome.
Source: RNAcentral
UCACGACUCUCGGCAACGGAUAUCUCGGCUCUCGCCACGAUGAAGAACGUAGCGAAAUGCGAUACUUAGUGUGAAUUGCAGAAUCCCGUGAAUCAUCGAGUCUUUGAACGCAAGUUGCGCCCGAGGCCUCGGCCGAGGGCACGUCUGCAUGGGCGUCGCAC